CUCGAUUUUUCCUCCAUAAAAAUUAUCCAGUUUUAACCCCUUCUUGUUUUUCUUGGUGUUGGGAAGUUGUUCCUGGGCACUGUUUGCCAUCACUAUUGUGGUUUUUCCCUUUCCUUUCCAGUCAGAAAUCUGAGUGAGCAUUGCAGGCUCUCUGUGUAUGGAGCUAAGGAGCAAGGAUUUUUCCUGAGGCCAGCUCUCUAAUUUCUGCAGCUUCUACUGUUUGCUGCCUUUCUCUGUGCUAUCUCCCUGUAGAUGUCCUGGUUUACGCUCUUCAACCUGUUGGGGUUUCAAGUCUAGCUGCUCUCAGGGGUAGGUCUUUGGUGGUUUUAGUCAGCUCCCAAGGACCUAAAGGUGCCUCUCACUCCCUCUAGAGUUGCCCCUUACUCACUCACUGAUUUUAGCAUGUGCUGCCUCUGACUUUGGCUCCAUAGUUGGGGUGGGGGUGGUUAGAUCAGCUCACAUUUUGGUGGAAGCUAUUUCACCCCCUUAUGGUGUGGAAAUGCCCAAAUCCUAUGUACCUUCAAUGCUGUACCCUACUGUAGAGUCCCUUCAUUCGUAUGAAUUAGUCUUUUUUUUGUCUUUUAAGGUAGUCUAUAUCAGUAGAUGCUGAGGAGAGGAAGAGUCCUGUGUCUAGACUGCUGGCAAGUUUACCUGGAAGUCCUGGACUUACCAUUCUGAAGAAUGAUUUGGAACUAUACCUAAAGAAUUUAAAAACUGCAUAUACUCUUUUUUAUAUAUCUCAAAGAGAAUAAAGAAAAGGAAAAAUGACUUGUAUAUACCAAAAUAUUUAUAGAUACUCCUUUUGUGGUGGCAAAAAGCUGGUAAUUGAGGAGAUGCCCAUCAAGUGGGGAAUGGCUGAACAAAUAGUGGCAAUUGGGAAAAAUAUAAUAAAGCCUUUGGGGCAAAAAGAUGUGAUGUCAACAAACUGAGGAAGGUAGGUAGAUGGCAGUAUUGACUGCUUUGCAUAAAAGAUUUACCUUUUAUCUCUUAAACAAUACUGCAUUACUCCCUGUUUCUAUUCUGCUCUAUAGUUCUAAUUAACUUGUGCUAUUGCAUAUCAGAGUAAUUUUAAAAUUGUAAAUUUAAUCAAUGUUAAGAAUUUGGAAAAAGGUCAAGGGGCAAAUCAAUGUAAGAAGACAUAU
Molecule: long non-coding RNA, 1142 nt
Filed under: Monodelphis domestica (gray short-tailed opossum)
Lineage: Eukaryota; Metazoa; Chordata; Mammalia; Didelphimorphia; Didelphidae
Description: lncRNA (ENSMODG00000040880.1)
Source: RNAcentral